Molecule: ribosomal RNA, 429 nt
Filed under: uncultured bacterium
Lineage: Bacteria
Description: bacterial SSU rRNA
Rfam family: Bacterial small subunit ribosomal RNA
Source: RNAcentral
UGGGGAAUAUUGCGCAAUGGGCGAAAGCCUGACGCAGCCAUGCCGCGUGUGUGAAGAAGGCCUUAGGGUUGUAAAGCACUUUCAAUAGAGAGGAAAAGCUUGUCGUUAAUACCGGCAAGCCCUGACGUUACCUAUAGAAGAAGCACCGGCUAACUCCGUGCCAGCAGCCGCGGUAAUACGGAGGGUGCGAGCGUUAAUCGGAAUUACUGGGCGUAAAGCGCGCGUAGGCGGUUUGUUAAGUCGGAUGUGAAAUCCCCGGGCUCAACCUGGGAACUGCACCCGAUACUGGCCGACUAGAGUACGAGAGAGGGAGGUAGAAUUCCACGUGUAGCGGUGAAAUGCGUAGAUAUGUGGAGGAAUACCAGUGGCGAAGGCGGCCUCCUGGCUCGAUACUGACGCUGAGGUGCGAAAGCGUGGGGAGCAAACAGG